Long non-coding RNA from Rhinichthys klamathensis goyatoka, 1657 nucleotides. RefSeq lists it as uncharacterized. The transcript has 3 exons. Lineage: Eukaryota; Metazoa; Chordata; Actinopteri; Cypriniformes; Leuciscidae. The record is from RefSeq and is a predicted model, not a curated record.
UUCUCGACAACGCCGUUGAAACGGUUUCGACAAGUUUUGCGCUUUUUACGCUGAAGGGACGCGCGUAGCCAACCUAAAGAAACUAUCGAGUUAGCAACCCUCGCUAAGAGAUCAAGCCAGCCAGCGACACAACAUUGAUUCUCCAAUGAAAUAACUGAUCCAGCUCUCAAUAAAUUCAAAACUUACCCUUACUUUUGACACUUCGUGUAAUUCCGUGUCGAUCGGGUUCGAAGUAUCACUUCAGGUGCAUCAUCUCUAUGUGGAGAAAGUCUUGUUAAUAUGGCGGCGAUGAGGUAAACAGAUAGGAAGUGAUGGAGUGGCAGACCCACGGGGGAUAACCGCAUGAGGAAAAAAGCAGGAGGCUGGAGACCAGGGGAAGGCGUGGGAAAGCGACUAGAGAACGAGCGAACGGUGGAAAAGCCGAGCGAUCUGCAGGCAUUCCUUUGUGAUUACACAUCUGUGGAGAAGGAGGCCAGACAUUCUUUCAGCCAGUGUCUGAAGCUGCUGACUUCUGCCCUCGAUCUCUGCGCUGUUGUUUUUUUUCUUAUCUGUAAAAAAAAAAAAAAAAGAAACUCAGCUGUGAACGUUUUAUUUGGUGACUGGAGACUGUGUUUCCUAAUACAGAAGCAUGACGCUCGCUGAAUCAGCCCCUUUCAACUUUGUACUCUGAUUUAAAGUCUCAAAACUCAACCUUGUGUCCUUGUUCUUGCAAUGAGAUACGAGAUUUCAGUGCUGAGCACUCAUGUUCAGCACUUCCUUCCUCUUUUGCAAACAUAAACCUCAGAACCCUUCCUUAAUCCAGUCAUCCACUGGUGGGAGGCCGAACAUGACAGCAGACGGACAAGGCAAACACUGGUGGGGGUGGUGCUUGUGUUCCUUCUUUGUUCUGAUGCUGACCUCUUCAUUAAAGGGCCUUUGUCACCAUGUAAGGAUUAAGAGUGAAAGAGAGCUCUUCUUCUGCUAGUCAGGGUUAAAGUCUGUCUCCUAAUAAAAUGCUCUUCCAUAUGUGCACAUCAAUGCAAUGUGGCAGUGAUCUUUUAUAACAUUUGCUUGAAGGAUUUCAAAGAUGUUUCCUCUCAUCCUACUCUUUUAAAAACAGAUUUAAGCCAGACAGUGGCGGAGUUUUGUAAAGUAAACCAGUUAUUAAAUAAAGUAGUUCUUAAGUAACUUAUCUCUGGCCAUGAUCAAUGACCCAAUUAUAAAGAAUUAAUUUAAUAUUCUCAAGAAAUAAAGUCUAAGGCCUGCUGUUUAAUUCAUUUAACUGUUCAAUCAAAAAAUGAAUGCAAUUGAAAACGCAUUUCGUAUCAGCUAUCAGUCUUCCUAUGCUAAGAAAUUGAUUUUUUUCUAAGCUUGCGUGCAUUAUGACAAAUUGUUUGCCUCGGUUAGUAAAAUAUAUGAAUAUAGCUGUAUUUUAAGACUUUGUAACUUGUAAAGCAACAUAUUUGUUUGCAUUGUUCAUUAUUCUCUUAUUAUCACACUUUGCUAUAUUUUUAAUUACCACAGUGACAGGAUAAAUGCCAUGUGGCUGUGAGUAAACACAAGUGAAGCAGUGCAGUCAUUACUGUAUCAGAUGCACGAUACCGCCCUCUACUGGACAGGCAAACAAAUAGCCGAAGAUGAAGCUAUAAAAACAUCAAUAAAUCUUUUACAAAUGCCA